CAGGGGGGCGGCCAACAGAUGCAGUCGAGCGAGCGAGUUAUCUGAACCUUCGGGGAACGAUAACGGCGUCGAGGACGGAGGGGUGAGUAAUGCCUAGGAAAUUGCCCUGAUGUGGGGUAUAACCAUUGGAAACGAUGGCUAAUACCGCAUGAUGCCUACAGGUGAAAGAGGGGGACCUUCGGGCGACUCGCGUCAGGAUAUGCCUAGGUGUUAUUAGCUAGUUGGUGAGGUAAGGGCUCACCUAGGCGACGAUCCCUAGCUGGUCUGAGAGGAUGAUCAGCCACACUGGAACUGAGACACGGUCCAGACUCCUACGGGAGGCAGCAGUGGGGAAUAUUGCACAAUGGGCGCAAGUCUAAAAAGGGCAUGCCGUGCGCUCGAAGGAGGGCU
This 390-nucleotide ribosomal RNA is filed under the name Vibrio neocaledonicus. RNAcentral's name for it is "bacterial SSU rRNA". It matches the Rfam family "Bacterial small subunit ribosomal RNA", at positions 38 to 417 of the family's 1533-position model. The record is from RNAcentral. Lineage: Bacteria; Pseudomonadati; Pseudomonadota; Gammaproteobacteria; Vibrionales; Vibrionaceae.